Molecule: ribosomal RNA, 278 nt
Filed under: uncultured prokaryote
Description: partial 16S ribosomal RNA
Rfam family: Bacterial small subunit ribosomal RNA
Source: RNAcentral
UACGUAGGGGGCUAGCGUUAUCCGGAAUUACUGGGGCGUAAAGGGUGCGUAGGUGGUUUCUUAAGUCAGAGGUGAAAGGCUACGGCUCAACCGUAGUAAGCCUUUGAAACUGGGAAACUUGAGUGCAGGAGAGGAGAGUGGAAUUCCUAGUGUAGCGGUGAAAUGCGUAGAUAUUAGGAGGAACACCAGUUGCGAAGGCGGCUCUCUGGACUGUAACUGACACUGAGGCACGAAAGCGUGGGGAGCAAACAGGAUUAGAUACCCAUGUAGUCCCUGAG